This 294-nucleotide long non-coding RNA is filed under the name Amborella trichopoda. Its description in RNAcentral is "long non-coding RNA (ATRI_LNC004676)". Lineage: Eukaryota; Viridiplantae; Streptophyta; Magnoliopsida; Amborellales; Amborellaceae. The record is from RNAcentral.
GCGCCUUCAAAUUUUAUCAUGGUAUAUAAUUUUGAUGUAAAAUGUUAUUAGGAUUAUCUCAAAAUCUAUUUUUCUAUGUAAUUAUAAAAUUUUAAAUUUAAAAAAUGGUUAAAAUCAAGUAGAUCUAUAAACAUAUGAAAAUCUUGAAAAUGGACGGUGUAGAUAAUAUGUUGUAAAAUGCACUAUUUCUGAGACUUAAAAUCUUUUUAAAUGUCAUGGUCAUACAUCUUGAUGUUGAGAUGAUCAAUCAAAGGGUUUUUCAACAUUAAAACUACUUUUUCUGAUGGAUUUUUG